This 534-nucleotide long non-coding RNA is filed under the name Helianthus annuus (common sunflower). RNAcentral's name for it is "sRNA HanXRQr2_Chr17g0823591". Lineage: Eukaryota; Viridiplantae; Streptophyta; Magnoliopsida; Asterales; Asteraceae. The record is from RNAcentral.
CCACAAAGCUACAUGAAUUGACUUAAAAAAGUCAAAAUUGGACUUAUAUGUUAACAAUGGAGUACAAAAAAUUAUAGCAGGAUAGCAGAUCUACUUAAAGUUUCAACAAAUUUGUUCAAAUUACUGAUCAUUUAGCUUCCAAAAUAAAUUAGUAACAUAAAAAGUUAAACAAGCCCCCACAAAAUGUAUAAAAAUUUGAAUACUAAAACCCUAAAUUCUUAAUCAAAACAUUGAAUUUCAUCAAACCCAUAAAACAAUUUCAGUAACUUACUCAAAAUGUUUGCAGAUUCACUGUGAAGAUUCGUUUAGGGAGUAAUGAUUCGUUUGAAAGGAUUAAUCAUUGGACGUUGAUGAACACCAAGGGUUAAUCACUGCAAGUUGGUCUGUAGACGAAUCGCACCAAGGGUGAGAGCAUGAUUAGAAAGGAUUCACUGUGAAGAUUCGUUUGAAGGAUGCGUGUUUUAGGUUUAGGGAGUAAAAACCCAUCUUGACCCAUGUGAAAAUUUAGAUGGGUAUUUUAAAACCCAUUCUAAC